UUGACCUCGGAUCAGGUAGGAAUACCCGCUGAACUUACAACAGGGAUUGCCCUAGUAACGGCGAGUGAAGCGGCAACAGCUCAAAUUUGAAAUCUGGCUCUCGGGCCCGAGUUGUAAUUUGUAGAGGAUACUUUUGAUGCGGUGCCUUCCGAGUUCCCUGGAACGGGACGCCAUAGAGGGUGAGAGCCCCGUCUGGUUGGAUGCCAAAUCUCUGUAAAGUUCCUUCGACGAGUCGAGUAGUUUGGGAAUGCUGCUCUAAAUGGGAGGUAUAUGUCUUCUAAAGCUAAAUACCGGCCAGAGACCGAUAGCGCACAAGUAGAGUGAUCGAAAGAUGAAAAGCACUUUGAAAAGAGAGUUAAAAAGUACGUGAAAUUGUUGAAAGGGAAGCGUUUAUGACCAGACUUGGGCUUGGUUAAUCAUCUGGGGUUCUCCCCAGUGCACUUUUCCAGUCCAGGCCAGCAUCAGUUUUCCCCGGGGGAUAAAGACUUCGGGAAUGUGGCUCUCUUCGGGGAGUGUUAUAGCCCGUUGUGUAAUACCCUGGGGGGGACUGAGGUUCGCGCAUCUGCAAGGAUGCUGGCGUAAUGGUCAUCAACGA
RNAcentral lists this ribosomal RNA (595 nucleotides) under Fusarium sp. SGLAf13. Its description in RNAcentral is "eukaryotic LSU rRNA". It matches the Rfam family "Eukaryotic large subunit ribosomal RNA", at positions 1 to 647 of the family's 3401-position model. The record is from RNAcentral. RNAcentral also lists the same sequence under 1 other name. Lineage: Eukaryota; Fungi; Ascomycota; Sordariomycetes; Hypocreales; Nectriaceae.